UGGGGAAUAUUGCGCAAUGGGCGAAAGCCUGACGCAGCGACGCCGCGUGAGGGAUGAAGGUUUUCGGAUCGUAAACCUCUGUCAGAAGGGAAGAAACCGCACUGUGCUAAUCAGCAGUGCCUUGACGGUACCUUCAAAGGAAGCACCGGCUAACUCCGUGCCAGCAGCCGCGGUAAUACGGAGGGUGCAAGCGUUAAUCGGAAUAACUGGGCGUAAAGCGCACGUAGGCUGCUUUGUAAGUCAGGGGUGAAAUCCCACGGCUCAACCGUGGAACUGCCUUUGAUACUGCUUAGCUUGAAUCCGGGAGAGGGUGGCGGAAUUCCAGGUGUAGGAGUGAAAUCCGUAGAUAUCUGGAGGAACAUCAGUGGCGAAGGCGGCCACCUGGACCGGUAUUGACGCUGAGGUGCGAAAGCGUGGGGAGCAAACAGG
This 429-nucleotide ribosomal RNA is filed under the name Fusobacteriota bacterium. Its description in RNAcentral is "Fusobacteria bacterium partial 16S ribosomal RNA". It matches the Rfam family "Bacterial small subunit ribosomal RNA", at positions 355 to 776 of the family's 1533-position model. The record is from RNAcentral. Lineage: Bacteria; Fusobacteriati; Fusobacteriota.